This is a long non-coding RNA of Populus euphratica (Euphrates poplar), 744 nucleotides long. RefSeq lists it as uncharacterized. The record is from RefSeq and is a predicted model, not a curated record. The transcript has 2 exons. Lineage: Eukaryota; Viridiplantae; Streptophyta; Magnoliopsida; Malpighiales; Salicaceae.
GCUUUUUUGUACCAGUUACUCUUUGAUCAGCUAUUACUUGCAUUAUCUUCUGGUGUCGAGAAUGUCUUCUUUCAUGCUUUACGGCGUCAUAAUUCGUAGAAGUUUAGGGUUUUUGACUGUCUUCGUUGCCUUCUUUUCAAAUUUGAAUGUUGAUUAACAUUUAAUAUUUCCAAAGUAGGAAAGUGUUUUAGACGUGCUUUAUGGUUUAUAUAAUAAUGGCUCAGCAGAAACUAAUUGAUGUUUAAUGCCUCAGAAAGAGGAAGGGAAAUGAAAGCAUAAUUAGAGUUUCUUCGUAGCCAUGUGUCUUGGUAAAUUCGUGUAACUGAAACAAUGAGUGAACCCGAACUUUUUUCUGGAUGUGUAUUGUGCGUGGUGGGUUGGCUGCAAAGAGUUUCUAUGUUGAUUGUCUUUGCAUGCGUAUGAAUUCACUUAAGAGCAUUUUAGGUGGUACAUGGGCAUAGCUAUGUAGUUGAUUAGCAAGUUUGGUCACCCACGGGAUUGGGUAUAUGACAUAUGGGUUCAGCACUUUUGGAUUUCAAGCACAAGUUCAAUAUCUCACAUAAUGUAGUUCAAUUAAAUGUAACACUCAAUAAACGUUUUAAUGCAUUUUGAGCAAUUAAUCUUUUUAUUAAACAGUGAUAGAACUCAUUAAAUCUGAUUUUGAUUGUAUAAGAAGUUUGAUAGCCGUGACUUACAUUAGUUUCGACUUGAUAUUGCACAGUUUCUUGCAAAAAUGCUCUUUUU